This is a long non-coding RNA of Notothenia coriiceps (black rockcod), 246 nucleotides long. RefSeq lists it as uncharacterized. The record is from RefSeq and is a predicted model, not a curated record. Lineage: Eukaryota; Metazoa; Chordata; Actinopteri; Perciformes; Nototheniidae. The transcript is spliced from 3 exons.
GGAAAUCAACAGACACCCUCUGGAAGACCAUGUGUCUGCUACUGGGCAUUUGUUUCAUCUGGUGCCUGAGUUUGCCAUAUUUCAUGCUGAGCAAUGCUGACCAGGACAUCAUCAGCGUGGCCACUAUCAACAGACUUGGGCGGGAUGGCAAUGUGGGGGAGGGAACAGGCAGGCCUGAAGAAAAAAUGAAGAGAAUUAUCAAGAUCAUCAAUGAUCUCCUGAACAUCGCAGAAUCCUCUGACAAUC